This 328-nucleotide long non-coding RNA is filed under the name Rattus norvegicus (Norway rat). Its description in RNAcentral is "long non-coding RNA NONRATT021793". Lineage: Eukaryota; Metazoa; Chordata; Mammalia; Rodentia; Muridae. The record is from RNAcentral.
CUGAUGGAACAGUUGACAGUGGUCAAGGAUCAUCUGUAUUCACAGAAUCCAGAGUGAGCAGCCAACAGACUGUUUCCUAUGGCUCCCAACAUGAGCAGGCACAUUCUAUUGGCACAGCACCAGGACAUACAGUUUCUAGUAUCCAAGCACAAUCUCAGCCCCAUGGGGUGUAUCCACCCUCAAGUAUGGUGAGUAAAUGCAUAAGAAAAUGGAAUACCAAAAUAGUAAUCAAUAGGUAAUCUGCCAAAUUAAAAUUAUUUAUGUCAUCUAAGUAGCACUGUGAGUCUAAGAGACUAUAAAUGGUCUAGUCAGUCUUCUUUAUCUGGGG